RNAcentral lists this ribosomal RNA (464 nucleotides) under uncultured Pseudomonadaceae bacterium. RNAcentral describes it as "partial 16S ribosomal RNA". It matches the Rfam family "Bacterial small subunit ribosomal RNA", at positions 338 to 794 of the family's 1533-position model. The record is from RNAcentral. Lineage: Bacteria; Pseudomonadati; Pseudomonadota; Gammaproteobacteria; Pseudomonadales; Pseudomonadaceae.
CCUACGGGAGGCAGCAGUGGGGAAUAUUGGACAAUGGGCGAAAGCCUGAUCCAGCCAUGCCGCGUGUGUGAAGAAGGUCUUCGGAUUGUAAAGCACUUUAAGUUGGGAGGAAGGGCAGUUACCUAAUACGUGAUUGUUUUGACGUUACCGACAGAAUAAGCACCGGCUAACUCUGUGCCAGCAGCCGCGGUAAUACAGAGGGUGCAAGCGUUAAUCGGAAUUACUGGGCGUAAAGCGCGCGUAGGUGGUUAGUUAAGUUGGAUGUAAAAUCCCCGGGCUCAACCUGGGAACUGCAUUCAAAACUGACUGACUAGAGUAUGGUAGAGGGUGGUGGAAUUUCCGGUGUAGCGGUAAAAUGCGUAGAUAUAGGAAGGAACACCAGUGGCGAGGGCGACCACCGGGACUGAAACUGACACUGAGGUGCGAAAGCGUGGGAAGCAAACAGGAUUAGAUACCCUUGUAGU